Molecule: transfer RNA, 62 nt
Filed under: human gut metagenome
Also listed under: 1 other name
Rfam family: tRNA
About the family: Transfer RNA (tRNA) molecules are approximately 80 nucleotides in length. Their secondary structure includes four short double-helical elements and three loops (D, anti-codon, and T loops).
Source: RNAcentral
GUUUAUAGUUUAACGGUAAAACAAUCGCCUUUUAAGCGAUUAAGUUUGGGUUCAAAUCCCAA